UAACAGGAAAUUUAAGGGCGUACGGUGGAUGCCUAGACUUUAAGAAGCGAUGAAGGACGUGGCGUUGCUGCGAUAAGCUUCGGGGAGGUGCUUAGCAACCUUUGAUCCGGAGAUUUCCGAAUGGGGAAACCCUAUUGAGUAAACCUCAAUAAUCUUUAUCUUUAUGAUAAAGGAGCAUACCUUGGGAAGUGAAACAUCUCAGUACCAAGAGGAAUAGAGACAAAUAUGUAUUUCCUUAGUAGCGGCGAGCGAAAAGGAAGAAGCCCAAACCGUUUUGUCGAAGACAAAACUACGGAUCAACUCUGAUUUAGACUGAUCAACUCUGAUAUUUUUAUCGGUGUUGAUCUGAUUUUUAUCAGUGAAUAUCAGUAGUUUCGCCUUCGGCGAAACGGGGUUGUAAGAUGACAAUUUUUAUUUAAUUAAAGGAGAGUCAAAAAAUAAAUUAUUAACUGAAGUUGCUGGAAAGCGACACCAUAGAGGGUGAUAGUCCUGUAAGUGAAAAUAAUUUAUCUCUUUUAUUGUUAUUCUUGAGUACCCCAGGACACAAAUGGCCGGGGGGAAUCCAGCGGAACUAACCGCUAAGGCUAAAUAUUCUUAAAGAUCGAUAGUGAACUAGUACCGUGAGGGAAAGGUGAAAAGCAGCCCGAUUAGGGCGGUGAAAUAGACCUGAACCCGUAUGUCUACAAGGAGUCGAUGCGGAUCGCACAGUGUGUGAGGAAAUUUUAUAUUGAAUAGUGGAGAUGGGCAACUUGUUGUUCGUACCUACUGGGGAAACCUAGACAGAGCAACAAGACUGCCUAACCGUUUGGUUGGCGGAACAACACAAACUUAUUAGUUAGACUGAGUCGUCAUACGACGAUAUGGGACGUCAUAAGUAUGUGCCGUGCAACUUCAAGUGGAGUAGCUCAUCCCACUAUUGUGGGUUCACGCUGAAGGAAUUCAGCUGGACCCACUCUACUAUUCAGUAUAAAAUUUACACAUAGUGUGCGGUCCGCUACGGCGUGCCUAUUGAAGAAUGAGCCAACGAGUUUAUUCAUUUUGCUGGCAAAGCUGGCUAAAACAGCAGAGCCGUAGGGAAACCGAGUGUUAAUAGCGCGAAAUAAUAGUAAAAUGCAUAAGACCCGAAACUAGGUGAGCUUGCCAUGAGCAGGUUGAAGUAGGUCGAAAGACUUAUGGAGGACCGAACCGGUAGAUCGUACAACGUCUUCGGAUGACUUGUGGUAAGGAGUGAAAAGCUAAUCGAACCUAGUAAUAGCUGGUUCUCUCCGAAAUAGCUUUAGGGCUAGCGUCGUGUGUUUCUUUUGGGGGUAGAGCACUGGAAGGUUCGGACAGGUCGCAAGAUCGCUGAACCUAUCAAACUCCGAAUACUAGAAGUAAGAACACGGCAGUUAGGCUAUGGGGGCGAAGCUCCAUUAGCCAAAAGGGAAACAGCCCAGAUCUCAAUAUAAGGUCCCUAAAUUCAUGCUAAGUGUAAGACAAGAAGGUGAGAUUUCUUAAACAAUGAGGAGGUUGGCUUAGAAGCAGCCAUCCUUUAAAGAUAGCGUAACAGCUCACUCAUCUAGAGAUUUUGCGUCGAAAAUAAUUGGGGCUAAG
This 1593-nucleotide ribosomal RNA is filed under the name Candidatus Parcubacteria bacterium. RNAcentral's name for it is "partial 23S ribosomal RNA". It matches the Rfam family "Bacterial large subunit ribosomal RNA", at positions 1 to 1186 of the family's 2925-position model. The record is from RNAcentral. Lineage: Bacteria; Candidatus Parcubacteria.